GUGGGGAAUAUUGGGCAAUGGGCGAAAGCCUGACCCAGCAACGCCGCGUGAAGGAAGAAGGUUUUCGGAUCGUAAACUUCUGUCCUAUAUGAAGAGCAGUAGACGGUAGUAUAGGAGGAAGCCCCGGCUAACUACGUGCCAGCAGCCGCGGUAAUACGUAGGGGGCGAGCGUUGUCCGGAAUGAUUGGGCGUAAAGGGCGCGUAGGCGGCCUGUUAAGUCUGGAGUGAAAGUCCUGUUUUCAAGAUGGGAAUUGCUUUGGAUACUGAUGGGCUUGAGUGCAGGAGAGGUUAUCGGAAUUCCCGGUGUAGCGGUGAAAUGCGUAGAGAUCGGGAGGAACACCAGUGGCGAAGGCGGGUAACUGGACUGCAACUGACGCUGAGGCGCGAAAGUGUGGGGAGCAAACAGGAUUAGAAACCCUAGUAGUCC
Molecule: ribosomal RNA, 427 nt
Filed under: uncultured bacterium
Lineage: Bacteria
Description: bacterial SSU rRNA
Rfam family: Bacterial small subunit ribosomal RNA
Source: RNAcentral